CACCAAUCCGAAAGGACAGCUCUUACAUAACAUAUAUAUAUCGAAAAUGAAAGUGAUCUGUGUGUUCCUAAUCACGGUGGCUUUAUGUCACGCCGCGCCUGGUACGAGUAACGACGAUGGAAAAAUUGAAAUAUUUUCAGGGGUUGCCAUCGAAAAGGAUGCGUCAGGUGAAGAUAAACUGAACGUAAAAUUUGAACCUGGAGAGUUGAAGGAAGCUGCAAGAACAUUUGAAGAAG
Molecule: unclassified non-coding RNA, 236 nt
Filed under: Melitaea cinxia (Glanville fritillary)
Lineage: Eukaryota; Metazoa; Arthropoda; Insecta; Lepidoptera; Nymphalidae
Description: misc RNA ENSMCXG00005007854.1
Source: RNAcentral